Molecule: ribosomal RNA, 236 nt
Filed under: Streptococcus lutetiensis
Lineage: Bacteria; Bacillati; Bacillota; Bacilli; Lactobacillales; Streptococcaceae
Description: partial 16S ribosomal RNA
Rfam family: Bacterial small subunit ribosomal RNA
Source: RNAcentral
GAGUAACGCGUAGGUAACCUGCCUACUAGCGGGGGAUAACUAUUGGAAACGAUAGCUAAUACCGCAUAACAGCAUUUAACACAUGUUAGAUGCUUGAAAGGAGCAAUUGCUUCACUAGUAGAUGGACCUGCGUUGUAUUAGCUAGUUGGUGAGGUAACGGCUCACCAAGGCGACGAUACAUAGCCGACCUGAGAGGGUGAUCGGCCACACUGGGACUGAGACACGGCCCAUACUCC